UACGGGGGGGGCAAGCGUUGUUCGGAAUUACUGGGCGUAAAGGGCGCGUAGGCGGCCUUCUAAGUCGGACGUGAAAUCCCUCGGCUUAACCGGGGAACUGCGUCCGAUACUGGAGGGCUUGGAUCCGGGAGAGGGAUGCGGAAUUCCAGGUGUAGCGGUGAAAUGCGUAGAUAUCUGGAGGAACACCGGUGGCGAAGGCGGCAUCCUGGACCGGCAUCGACGCUGAGGCGCGAAAGCCAGGGGAGCAAAC
RNAcentral lists this ribosomal RNA (250 nucleotides) under uncultured bacterium. RNAcentral describes it as "partial 16S ribosomal RNA". It matches the Rfam family "Bacterial small subunit ribosomal RNA", at positions 524 to 773 of the family's 1533-position model. The record is from RNAcentral.